RNAcentral lists this ribosomal RNA (498 nucleotides) under uncultured bacterium. Its description in RNAcentral is "partial 16S ribosomal RNA". It matches the Rfam family "Bacterial small subunit ribosomal RNA", at positions 28 to 523 of the family's 1533-position model. The record is from RNAcentral.
GAUGAACGCUAGCGGCAGGCCUAAUACGUGCAAGUCGGACGGGAUUUGGGAGCUUGCUCCCAAUGAGAGUGGCGCACGGGUGCGUAACACGUAUGUAACCUACCUUAAUCAGGGGGAUAGCCUCUCGAAAGAGAGAUUAACACCGCAUAACAUAUUUUUAUGGCAUCGUAGAAAUAUCAAAUAUUUAUAGGAUUAAGAUGGGCAUGCGGAACAUUAGCUAGUUGGUAAGGUAGCGGCUUACCAAGGCUACGAUGUUUAGGGGAUCUGAGAGGAAGACCCCCCACACUGGUACGGAGACACGGACCAGACUCCUACGGGAGGCAGCAGUAAGGAAUAUUGUUCAAUGGGCGCAAGCCUGAACCAGCCAUGCCGCGUGCAGGAAGACGGCCCUAUGGGUUGUAAACUGCUUUUGUACCGGAAUAAACCCUUUUACGUGUAAAAGGCUGAAUGUACGGUAAGAAUAAGGAUCGGCUAACUCCGUGCCAGCAGCCGCGGUAA